This 573-nucleotide ribosomal RNA is filed under the name uncultured bacterium. Its description in RNAcentral is "partial 16S ribosomal RNA". It matches the Rfam family "Bacterial small subunit ribosomal RNA", at positions 355 to 920 of the family's 1533-position model. The record is from RNAcentral.
UGGGGAAUUUUGGACAAUGGGCGAAAGCCUGAUCCAGCAAUGCCGCGUGUGUGAAGAAGGCCUUCGGGUUGUAAAGCACUUUUGUCCGGAAAGAAAUCCUUGGCUCUAAUACAGUCGGGGGAUGACGGUACCGGAAGAAUAAGCACCGGCUAACUACGUGCCAGCAGCCGCGGUAAUACGUAGGGUGCAAGCGUUAAUCGGAAUUACUGGGCGUAAAGCGUGCGCAGGCGGUUUGCUAAGACCGAUGUGAAAUCCCCGGGCUCAACCUGGGAACUGCAUUGGUGACUGGCAGGCUAGAGUAUGGCAGAGGGGGGUAGAAUUCCACGUGUAGCAGUGAAAUGCGUAGAGAUGUGGAGGAAUACCGAUGGCGAAGGCAGCCCCCUGGGCCAAUACUGACGCUCAUGCACGAAAGCGUGGGGAGCAAACAGGAUUAGAUACCCUGGUAGUCCACGCCCUAAACGAUGUCAACUAGUUGUUGGGGACUUCAUUUCCUUAGUAACGUAGCUAACGCGUGAAGUUGACCGCCUGGGGAGUACGGUCGCAAGAUUAAAACUUAAAGGAAUUGACGGGGUC